RNAcentral lists this small RNA (17 nucleotides) under Arabidopsis thaliana (thale cress). RNAcentral's name for it is "ATSL082100". The record is from RNAcentral. Lineage: Eukaryota; Viridiplantae; Streptophyta; Magnoliopsida; Brassicales; Brassicaceae.
GUUUUAUACAUCAACUU